Stegostoma tigrinum is the source of this 611-nucleotide long non-coding RNA. RefSeq lists it as uncharacterized. The record is from RefSeq and is a predicted model, not a curated record. The transcript is spliced from 4 exons. Lineage: Eukaryota; Metazoa; Chordata; Chondrichthyes; Orectolobiformes; Stegostomatidae.
CAAAAAGACGAAGGCCUAAAAUUUCCUUAAAAUUACUUAUAAACAAAAAUUGCAACCACUGGAGAGGGCUACACAGGAUUUCCCCAAUCUGCGCAAAGUGUAAAAUCGAGGAAAAUAAAAGGGAGUGGCGAAAGGGAUGAAAACUUGGCCUGGACAAAAGAUUGGCUGAAUAACAGGAAACAGUGUAUCAUUUUCUGGUUAGCAAGAUCUGACAAUUGAUAUGCCACAGGGAUCAGGGCUGAGAUCUCUACUUUCUGCAAACAAUAUGAAUGAAUUGGCCGAAGGGGCCGAAGCUUCCUAUAUUACCAAGUGUGCCAACAAAGCUAGAUGUUGAGAAAUCUCAAUGUGGAAAUCAGAGUUGGUACCUGGACAAUUCAGUUUGCAGCUUACUUCGAAGAACCUCCAGGCUGGACAUCAGGUACUAGCAUGGGCACCAGCUAUGUACAAACAACAUCCGUGGAGAUCAGCAUCUGGAGAGUUUGUACACCUGCCUAGCAUGCUGGCCGCGAGACCCACCACCAUCCUGCCUGCUCAGGGAAAGCUCCAUCUACAGUGUUAAAUUUCCCUGUCACACCAAGAAACUGGAGGCAGAGUGAAAAAUUGAAUUUGGU